CAGCAGCCGCGGGAAUACGGAGGGGGCUAGCGUUGUUCGGAAUUACUGGGCGUAAAGCGCACGUAGGCGGCUUUGUAAGUUAGAGGUGAAAGCCUGGAGCUUAACUCCAGAAUUGCCUUUAAGACUGCAUCGCUUGAAUCCGAGAGAGGUGAGUGGAAUUCCGGGUGUAGAGGUGAAAUUCGUAGAUAUUCGGAAGAACACCAGUGGCGAAGGCGGCUCACUGGCUCAUUCUAGACGCUGAGGUGCGAAAGCGUGGGGGAGCAAACAGGAUUAGAUACCCCUGUAGUCCCUGUCUCUUAUU
RNAcentral lists this ribosomal RNA (301 nucleotides) under uncultured bacterium. RNAcentral's name for it is "partial 16S ribosomal RNA". It matches the Rfam family "Bacterial small subunit ribosomal RNA", at positions 509 to 808 of the family's 1533-position model. The record is from RNAcentral.